AUUGAACGCUGGCGGCAGGCCUAACACAUGCAAGUCGAGCGGAUGAAGGGAGCUUGCUCCUGGAUUCAGCGGCGGACGGGUGAGUAAUGCCUAGGAAUCUGCCUGGUAGUGGGGGAUAACGUCCGGAAACGGGCGCUAAUACCGCAUACGUCCUGAGGGAGAAAGUGGGGGAUCUUCGGACCUCACGCUAUCAGAUGAGCCUAGGUCGGAUUAGCUAGUUGGUGGGGUAAAGGCCUACCAAGGCGACGAUCCGUAACUGGUCUGAGAGGAUGAUCAGUCACACUGGAACUGAGACACGGUCCAAACUCCUACGGGAGGCAGCAGUGGGGAAUAUUGGACAAUGGGCGAAAGCCUGAUCCAGCCAUGCCGCGUGUGUGAAGAAGGUCUUCGGAUUGUAAAGCACUUUAAGUUGGGAGGAAGGGCAGUAAGUUAAUACCUUGCUGUUUUGACGUUACCAACAGAAUAAGCACCGGCUAACUUCGUG
This 484-nucleotide ribosomal RNA is filed under the name uncultured bacterium. RNAcentral's name for it is "partial 16S ribosomal RNA". It matches the Rfam family "Bacterial small subunit ribosomal RNA", at positions 30 to 507 of the family's 1533-position model. The record is from RNAcentral.